Molecule: ribosomal RNA, 484 nt
Filed under: uncultured bacterium
Lineage: Bacteria
Description: partial 16S ribosomal RNA
Rfam family: Bacterial small subunit ribosomal RNA
Source: RNAcentral
AUUGAACGCUGGCGGCAGGCCUAACACAUGCAAGUCGAGCGGAUGAAGGGAGCUUGCUCCUGGCUUCAGCGGCGGACGGGUGAGUAAUGCCUAGGAAUCUGCCUGGUAGUGGUGGAUUACGUCCGGAAACGGGCGCUAAUACCGCAUACGUCCUGAGGGGGAAAGUGGGGGAUCUUCGGACCUCACGCUAUCAGAUGAGACUAGGUCGGAUUAGCUAGUUGGUGGGGUAAAGGCCUACCACGGCGACGAUCCGUAACUGGUCUGAGAGGAUGAUCAGUCACACUGGAACUGAGACACGGUCCAGACUCCGACGGGAGGCAGCAGUGGGGAAUACUGGACAAUGGGCGAAAGCCUGAUCCAGCCAUGCCGCGUGUGUGAAGAAGGUCUUCGGAUGGUAAAGCACUUUAAGUUGGGAGGAAGGGCAGUAAGUUAAUACCUUGCUGUGUUGACGUUACCAACAGAAUAAGCACCGGCUAACUUCGUG